GAUGAACGCUAGCGGGAGGCCUAACACAUGCAAGCCGAGCGGUAGAGUUUUUUCGGAAACUUGAGAGCGGCGCACGGGUGCGUAACACGUGUGCAACCUACCUUUAUCUGGGGGAUAGCCUUUCGAAAGGAAGAUUAAUACCCCAUAAUAUAAUGAUUGGCAUCAAUUAUUAUUGAAAACUCCGGUGGCUAGAGAUGGGCACGCGCAAGAUUAGAUAGUUGGUGAGGUAACGGCUCACCAAGUCAAUGAUCUUUAGGGGUCCUGAGGGGGAGAUCCCCCACACUGGUACUGCGGCACGGACCAGACUGCUACGGAAGGCAGCAGUGAGGAAUAGUAGACGAUGGGUGAGAGCCUGAUCCAGCCAUCCCGCGUGAAGGAGGACUGUCCUAUGGAUGGUAAACCUCUUUUGUACAGAGAUAACCCUACCCUCGUGAGGGUAGCUGAAGGUACUGUACGAAUAAGCACCGGCUAACUCCGUG
Molecule: ribosomal RNA, 479 nt
Filed under: uncultured bacterium
Lineage: Bacteria
Description: partial 16S ribosomal RNA
Rfam family: Bacterial small subunit ribosomal RNA
Source: RNAcentral